AAUGAAUAGAUUACUUACUCCUGAAGAAGAAUGUUGGCUGUACCUUCUGCAAGUUGUUGCCAAUUUGUCUGUCAACUUUUGCACCAAAGCACCAAAUAACUGUUUGCCAGAUCUCAAGUGUGACAAGAAAGAGAUCUGUCAUCACCUAUAGGAAAACAAUGAACUGCAUGUAGCCAAGAGAUAAAGUUUCUCUCAGAAAGUCUGGGGCUCUGAAUUUCUCUGACUGUAAUGAGAGCUGUCCUUAUUACAAAUCUUUUUUGACAGCAAGAUUGUGAAGGAAGUAUGACUGGACAAUACUUUACCUUGUUAGGCAUGCACAAAUUUAUUUGGUUGCUAUGGCAAAUGAUCCAGAGCUACAUGCGACACUGAGCUUUCGUAGCACUGAGCUUUCAUAGCACUGAUGAGAGAGGGCAAGGUAGAAUAAAGUGAAGAAUGUGUUUACUGGUCUCCAUUCGCUUUCCAAAGCAGCCUCUCCUCACUUUGCCCGUUUUCUCCAUGUUUGAGAUUUCUUCAUCUGAUUACUAUGGAACAACACUGGAAAAUGUCUAGUGUGUAAUACAGAACAAGCCAAUAUAAAUUUAAGUUAAUGCAUAAAA
Molecule: long non-coding RNA, 596 nt
Organism: Lagopus leucura (white-tailed ptarmigan)
Lineage: Eukaryota; Metazoa; Chordata; Aves; Galliformes; Phasianidae
Exons: 3
Source: RefSeq, a predicted model, not a curated record